CCAGAGGGCCGGGCGGCCGCGGGUGCAGUGAUGCGCGCGAGGAAAGUCCGGGCUCCGCAUAACCACGGUGCCGGAUAACGUCCGGCGGGGGCAACCCCAGGGACAGUGCCACAGAGAAGAGACCGCCUAUGGCCGUCGUCCGGGCAACCGGAUACGCGGUCAGGCAAGGGUGAAACGGUGCGGCAAGAGCGCACCGCGCGACUGGCAACAGAAGCGGCACGGCAAACCCCACCGGGAGCAAGACCGAAUAGGGAUGGCGCGAACGCUGGCGAAAGUUGGGGUUCAGGGUGUGGUUGUCACCCAGUCGUCCGGGUUGGUUGCUUGAGCCCGUCGGCAACGGCGGGCCUAGAGGAAUGGUCGCCCAGUCGCAGCGAUGUGAUGGACAGAACCCGGCUUACAGGCCCUCUGGCACC
RNAcentral lists this RNase P RNA (413 nucleotides) under Sphingomonas lacunae. RNAcentral's name for it is "Bacterial RNase P class A". It matches the Rfam family "Bacterial RNase P class A". From Rfam's summary of the family: Ribonuclease P (RNase P) is a ubiquitous endoribonuclease, found in archaea, bacteria and eukarya as well as chloroplasts and mitochondria. The record is from Rfam by way of RNAcentral. Lineage: Bacteria; Pseudomonadati; Pseudomonadota; Alphaproteobacteria; Sphingomonadales; Sphingomonadaceae.